GAUGAACGCUAGCUACAGGCUUAACACAUGCAAGUCGAGGGGAAACGAUGAGAGAGCUUGCUCUCUUAGUCGUCGACCGGCGCACGGGUGAGUAACGCGUAUCCAACCUGCCUCUGACCAAGGGAUAACCCGUCGAAAGUCGGACUAAUACCUUAUGCAGUCGUCGGAAGUCAUCUGAUGACGACGAAAGAUUUCAUCGGUGCGAGAUGGGGAUGCGUCUGAUUAGCUUGUUGGCGGGGUAACGGCCCACCAAGGCGACGAUCAGUAGGGGUUCUGAGAGGAAGGUCCCCCACAUUGGAGCUGAGACACGGUCCAAACUCCUACGGGAGGCAGCAGUGAGGAAGAUUGGUCAAUGGGCGUAAGCCUGAACCAGCCAAGUAGCGUGCAGGAUGACGGCCCUAUGGGUUGUAAACUGCUUUUAGGCGGGGAUAAAGUGAGGGACGUGUCCUUCAUUGCAGGUACCGCAUGAAUAAGGACCGGCUAAUUCCGUG
Molecule: ribosomal RNA, 491 nt
Filed under: uncultured bacterium
Lineage: Bacteria
Description: partial 16S ribosomal RNA
Rfam family: Bacterial small subunit ribosomal RNA
Source: RNAcentral